Camelus dromedarius (Arabian camel) is the source of this 2728-nucleotide long non-coding RNA. RefSeq lists it as uncharacterized. Lineage: Eukaryota; Metazoa; Chordata; Mammalia; Artiodactyla; Camelidae. The record is from RefSeq and is a predicted model, not a curated record. The transcript is spliced from 4 exons.
AGAGCCUAAGAUAGAGAGAGGGCAGAUGAAGCUCGGUUGGAUCCCACAGGAACCCCACCAAAGUGACCUUCUCUGGAAGUUUCCCUCCCAGGCCUUUGUGCUUGGGUAACCUGGCCUUCCCUCUUUCCUUUCCCACAGCCCAGAAGGCAGACACCUGUGGCACAUCAUGGAGCCGAGCCCACCACUGAGCCCACCAGCCCAGACAGGGUUACCUUUUUGCGUGGCCGGAGCUUGUCCCGCCAGUCCUUCAGGUUCUGGUUGUGGCUUUCGUCCAGGGCCUUCAGCUUCUGGGUUUCAUGCUCUACCAGGAGGUGACACUUUUCAUUCUGGAACAUAUUCCAGGCAGAACAGGUGAGACUCUCUGCCUCCCAUCUAUACGUGACUGAAACAGUAUCUGGCAUUUUAUUCCUGGAAGUCUAUUAACUGACCCUGUGCUCAGGGCAGAGAACUGGCGUCAGAUGGAGAACCCCACGUCCUGUAAGACAGAGCUGGUCAUACUCAGCCCACUGCGAACGUUCAGUUUGUUUCACCGCUCUUCUGUUCCCAUGAAAGCUGGCAUCUACCCACAGACUAUUGCAACAGUGAUUUGGCUUCCAAACCAAAAUCAGAACCACCGUCCCACAAGUAGGAUGGUUCUUAGAGACCAUCUCAUGACAAAAGGAAUCAAGGGCUUUCCUGAAACAUCCGUGGCUCUAUUCGGAAUGUCAGAAUACAAGGACCCCAUUUUGCUUGGUCCACACCAACACAGAGGGGUCGAUGCCGUCCGGCUGCACUGGCCAUCAGAGUCCUGGCGCAGCCCCUGUCAUGUAAGUGAGCCAGAGGCAGCCCUGUAUGUCGGUCCUGUGUUUACGUCUUCACCGCAGACAGGGCCCAUUAGCUCUAAAGCCCACAGGCUCCAAACUCAGAUUUUCACUCAUGCAAUUAUUUUAAAUGUAGUUCAAACAACAGACUUCUAGCCAUUUGGAGCCUGCUUGCUUUGCAUACCCCUAUAAAACUGCUCCCAACAUCUGCUAGCCGUAGAUAAGAUAGCUUGGGGGCUCUAAACAGACCCCAAGCCCUGCGCCGGAGCUCUCCACCUCAGCAUCCCCCGCUGAGCUCCCCACUGCUGAGUGACAUCAUCCAGAUGCAUAAGCCUCCCCCAUCCCCUUCCUCCCCAGGGGUGGUGGCCCACACUUGUCUCUGGAAGAUCUCAUGCUGGGAGACUUGCCAGCAGACAAACCUGCCCCAAAACGCCACCGCACCAGGGUAGUUACGAGCUUGGCUUCAAGGUAAGGUCUGCAUUCAGGGUCCACUCUACCGCUCAUGAACUCUGCAACCUGGCCGAAGAGUCGUCACUCUCCAGGCCUCCCUUUCCUCAUCUAUAAAAACGGGGCCAGUAGCGGGGCCUGCCUUGGGUUAAGGAGAGGGUUCAAUGAGGUUAAGCUAGGAGAUUAAGGCACAGGGCCUGGCAGAGGAGUCUCUCAAUAGGAGAUGGCUGUUACCAAGGGGCUCUCCGUACCGCCCCUGCCUCCACGACCCUGUUAACCCAGCUCACUUAUUUACUAUUUCCACCCACUCUGUAUCGCCUCCUUUUCUCUUUCUCCCCUUGACAUCUGCAAUAACGUCACAUAGUGUUGGUGAGAACUGGUAUCUUUGCCUCAGUCCUGACCUCAGGGGGGUCUUCCUCACGUUUCACCAUGCAGGCUGUGGUCUGCUUCUCCGGUGGAGAAGACCUAACAGUUGUUUCUUGCCUGGGGCUGGGAUGUCCAUUCAUGGCGACAACACGGGCCAACGUGGCGCCAGGCGCCCCAUCCCCACCCCCCCGCUGCCGGGCACCCACCUCGAAGGAGCUCCUGCUUCUUAGAGAGGCACUCGCGCUCCUUGUCGCAGAUCUCCCGCCUGUUGUCCGCGGUGAUCCUCUUCAUCGCCAGCUCCAGGUCCUCCUUCUGCUUGGCUAGGAAGUCCCGGUCCUGUUGUUACAUAUUUAAACUUUUAGGUGUGUUUAUGGUAUGGUGGCUACUACAUCAUUGAGAUAUUUACAGGUAAAAAGACAGGAUGUCUGGACUCCAAAAUAACACAGUGGUGUGGGGGAGUGAGUGGCCCGGAGCUGAGAAUUACGGAGGUCAAGUGAGGGGUACAUGGAGGUUCAUUAUACUGUUAUACCUACUUCUGCUUAUGUUUUUAAUUUUCCAUAAUAAAAAGUAAAAACAAUAAAACUUAAGAAAUUUUAGGAAACAUGUAAGAAAUUAAAAAUUCCUACUAACCUUACCACCUGAGGCUAGCAACUGGUUUUGGUGUACCCAUGUAAAUGUAUCUACCUCUGUUGUUGUUUCACAAAAAUCAUCUUAAAAGGCUUGAAGAGAUACCUGUACACCCACAUUCAUGGCAGCAUUAUUCACAACAGCCAAGGGAUUGGAAACAAGUGUCCACAGACAGAUGAAUGGAUAAACAAAACACGGCAUAUACGUACAAUGAAGUAUUAUUCAGCCUUUGAAAGGAAGGAAAUUCCGCUACAUGCUACAGCAUGGAUGAAUCUUGAGGACAUGAUGAGUAGUCCUGGGGCUGGAUGGUGGCGAUGGAGUACACGAAGAUAUGAAGGUAUUUAGUACCACUGAACGGUACACGUCAAAACGGGGAAGAUGCCACAUCUUACGUCAAUUUUACCACUGUUUUAAAAAAAUUAUUAAAAAGGCCUUUCCAUGUCAUAAUGUAAUCUUCUAUCAAAAAUAAAUUUUAAUGGCUGCAAAUA